AAUUUUGGACAAUGGGCGCAAGCCUGAUCCAGCCAUGCCGCGUGAGUGAAUAAGGCCUACGGGUUGUAAAGCUCUUUCGGUCGGAAAGAAAUCGCGCAGGCUAAUACACUGCCAGGAUCACUGUACCGUCAUAAGAAGUACUGGCUAACUACCUGCCAGCAGCCGCGGUAAUACGUAGGGUGCGAUCGUUAAUCGGAAUUACUGGGAGUAAAGCGUGCGCAGGCGGUUGAUUAAGACAGGCGUGAAAUCCCCGGGCUUAACCUGGGAACUGCGCUUGUGACUGGUCAGCUAGAGUACGGCAGAGGGGGGUAGAAUUCCACGUGUAGCAGUGAAAUGCGUAGAGAUGUGGAGGAACACCGAUGGCGAAGGCAGCCCCCUGGGCCGAUACUGACGCUCAUGCACGAAAGCGUGGGUAGCAAACAGG
RNAcentral lists this ribosomal RNA (424 nucleotides) under uncultured bacterium. RNAcentral describes it as "partial 16S ribosomal RNA". It matches the Rfam family "Bacterial small subunit ribosomal RNA", at positions 360 to 776 of the family's 1533-position model. The record is from RNAcentral.